GACGAACGCUGGCGGCGUGCUUAACACAUGCAAGUCGAACGAAGAGCGAUGGAAGCUUGCUUCUAUCAAUCUUAGUGGCGAACGGGUGAGUAACGCGUAAUCAACCUGCCCUUCAGAGGGGGACAACAGUUGGAAACGACUGCUAAUACCGCAUACGAUCUAACCUCGGCAUCGAGGAUAGAUGAAAGGUGGCCUCUAUUUAUAAGCUAUCACUGAAGGAGGGGAUUGCGUCUGAUUAGCUAGUUGGAGGGGUAACGGCCCACCAAGGCGAUGAUCAGUAGCCGGUCUGAGAGGAUGAACGGCCACAUUGGGACUGAGACACGGCCCAGACUCCUACGGGAGGCAGCAGUGGGGAAUCUUCCGCAAUGGACGAAAGUCUGACGGAGCAACGCCGCGUGAGUGAUGACGGCCUUCGGGUUGUAAAGCUCUGUUAAUCGGGACGAAAGGCCUUCUUGCGAAUAGUUAGAAGGAUUGACGGUACCGGAAUAGAAAGCCACGGCUAACUACGUGCCAGCAGCUGCGGUAAUACGUAGGUGGCAAGCGUUGUCCGGAAUUAUUGGGCGUAAAGCGCGCGCAGGG
Molecule: ribosomal RNA, 579 nt
Filed under: uncultured organism
Description: SSU rRNA
Rfam family: Bacterial small subunit ribosomal RNA
Source: RNAcentral